GGGGGCGAAACGGCUUCGACGGGGAUCCUUAGCUUAGGUGGCAUACCGAGGUCCUAUCGCCUCGUAAAACAGAUAGGAAAAAAUAAUCGCAGACAACUACGAUUACGCCUUGGCCGCUUAGUCGGCCAUCACCCUGUCAUUCUUUCCUGCGAGGAUGACAAGGGUGUCGAUCAGCAGGAUAGCCCGACCGAAGUUCCUGUAAUCUGUCGGGCGAACCCUUUAACAGGAUAGCCUUUGGGACCUCCUGUCCGUCGGAUGUCCGAAAGGCGAACAUUGAGUAGACGGAAUAAGUAUGUAGAGGCCUAAGUGACGUAUUUCCGGACGCGGGUUCGACUCCCGCCGCCUCCACCA
RNAcentral lists this transfer-messenger RNA (351 nucleotides) under Thermodesulfobacteriota. Its description in RNAcentral is "g RBG-13-43-22 X1 Standard tmRNA". It matches the Rfam family "transfer-messenger RNA". Rfam says of the family: Bacterial tmRNA, also known as 10Sa RNA or SsrA, is named for its dual tRNA and mRNA-like properties. RNAcentral also lists the same sequence under 1 other name. Lineage: Bacteria; Pseudomonadati. The record is from RNAcentral.